CUGUAACUUCAUAUAAAAAGGGCUGUAACAGAAAUUCAAAAUAGGAAAUGAAAUAAAAUGAAAAUAUUCAGACUCCCUCCAAAUAAGAUUUCUCCUUCUCCUUCUCCGAUCUGAAACCCUCCUCAGAUUUGAACUCUCUCUCUAAUCUGAACACUCUCUUCUCUGUAAUUCACCUCUUCAUCUCAAUCCAACUCCAGAAUUCACAUAAACACCACACCGAAUUCCUCUCGGGAAGUCGGGAUGUUACGUAGAGUUAUAAACUGAGAACAACAAUUUACAAAUGUCAAUCUUAAUAUGCUGCCUUCAUCACCUGAACUCUCCAAUGUAUCAAAGUGCUUCUUUUCUUUCUAUCUUCUUUCCCUUUGCCCAAACCAAUGCUCUAUAUUGUUGAUUAUAUUACCAUCAGUGUAACUGGAGGCAUCUCUAGAACAACUUCUGAUAUAACAUUCAAACAUUGUUCGGAAGCUUUAAGAUGUUCAAUUUGGAUGUUACG
RNAcentral lists this long non-coding RNA (493 nucleotides) under Elaeis guineensis (African oil palm). RNAcentral's name for it is "long non-coding RNA (EGUI_LNC077098)". The record is from RNAcentral. Lineage: Eukaryota; Viridiplantae; Streptophyta; Magnoliopsida; Arecales; Arecaceae.